AAGCUCCUCGAACAGCCUCCAUCUAUAGGAAUUUUUUAAAGAUUUUUUGGUUAUUUUUCGGCAGGUUUCUCAUAGGGUUCUCCAGCCGAACUAGGGUGACCAGCCUCUCUCGCUAAAUUGAUGCGAUCAGGCAUC
Non-coding RNA from Sarcophilus harrisii (Tasmanian devil), 135 nucleotides. The record is from Rfam. Lineage: Eukaryota; Metazoa; Chordata; Mammalia; Dasyuromorphia; Dasyuridae.